UGGGGAAUUUUGGACAAUGGGGGCAACCCUGAUCCAGCAAUGCCGCGUGUGUGAAGAAGGCCUUCGGGUUGUAAAGCACUUUUGUCCGGAAAGAAAACGCCGUGGUUAAUACCCGUGGCGGAUGACGGUACCGGAAGAAUAAGCACCGGCUAACUACGUGCCAGCAGCCGCGGUAAUACGUAGGGUGCAAGCGUUAAUCGGAAUUACUGGGCGUAAAGCGUGCGCAGGCGGUCCGCUAAGACAGAUGUGAAAUCCCCGGGCUUAACCUGGGAACUGCAUUUGUGACUGGCGGGCUAGAGUAUGGCAGAGGGGGGUAGAAUUCCACGUGUAGCAGUGAAAUGCGUAGAGAUGUGGAGGAAUACCGAUGGCGAAGGCAGCCCCCUGGGCCAAUACUGACGCUCAUGCACGAAAGCGUGGGGAGCAAACAGGAUUCAGAUA
RNAcentral lists this ribosomal RNA (438 nucleotides) under uncultured bacterium. Its description in RNAcentral is "partial 16S ribosomal RNA". It matches the Rfam family "Bacterial small subunit ribosomal RNA", at positions 355 to 784 of the family's 1533-position model. The record is from RNAcentral.